RNAcentral lists this transfer RNA (87 nucleotides) under Hemionitis ludens. RNAcentral describes it as "Calciphilopteris ludens tRNA-Ser". It matches the Rfam family "tRNA". Rfam says of the family: Transfer RNA (tRNA) molecules are approximately 80 nucleotides in length. The record is from RNAcentral. Lineage: Eukaryota; Viridiplantae; Streptophyta; Polypodiopsida; Polypodiales; Pteridaceae.
GGAAGGGUGGCCGAGUGGUUUAAGGCGUAGCAUCGGAAAUGCUACGUAGAUUUCUCUCUACCGAGGGUUCGAAUCCCUCCCUUUCCU